AUGAAACACUCCUACGGGAGGCAGCAGUGGGGAAUAUUGCACAAUGGGCGAAAGCCUGAUGCAGCGACGCCGCGUGGGGGAUGACGGUCUUCGGAUUGUAAACUCCUUUCAGUAGGGACGAAGCGAAAGUGACGGUACCUGCAGAAGAAGCACCGGCCAACUACGUGCCAGCAGCCGCGGUAAUACGUAGGGUGCAAGCGUUGUCCGGAAUUACUGGGCGUAAGGAGCUCGUAGGCGGUUUGUCACGUCGUCUGUGAAAUCCUCCAGCUCAACUGGGGGCGUGCAGGCGAUACGGGCAGACUUGAGUACUACAGGGGAGACUGGAAUUCCUGGUGUAGCGGUGAAAUGCGCAGAUAUCAGGAGGAACACCGGUGGCGAAGGCGGGUCUCUGGGUAGUAACUGACGCUGAGGAGCGAAAGCAUGGGGAGCAAACAGGAUUAGAAACCCUUGUAGUCCGAAGUUC
RNAcentral lists this ribosomal RNA (463 nucleotides) under uncultured bacterium. RNAcentral describes it as "bacterial SSU rRNA". It matches the Rfam family "Bacterial small subunit ribosomal RNA", at positions 328 to 802 of the family's 1533-position model. The record is from RNAcentral.